UUAUGAAUUCUUUUUCAUGUAUAAGCUCUGAGACACCACUGGCCAGGCCCACUGGCUGGGCAGGGACAGCCAAGUGCUGCAGGGGCCACCCCGGCCGCAGGCUGCAGGCCCAUCACCCCACACACCGAUGCACACAGGACCCUGCUCGCCAUAAAAAUACGUGCGGUAAAAUAUUGGAUUCAUUCAAUUAUUUGAGACUAAUAUAGACUCCAAGAAACCUGAAAUUGAUCCAACUAAUCCAACCCAUAACAUCGGAACGACAGUAACUGGUUUUCAUUAUAAAUUACAUAGCCCACUAAAUUGAUGGGAAGGCUCUCCCCCAACACAAUACAUCAAAAGAGUUAAAAUUAAGCUUUGUAAUCAAAACUGUAAUUUACCCAAGACUUAGGAACAAAAAGACCACUCCCUCCUCCCCAUUGCUAUUGUUCUACAGGACUGGGUGUCGAGCAGUGCACUUUACACCUUUAGGCUUCCCAGAGGCAGAAGACAAAUUGCAAAUUUGGUGUUUCCAGCAUGGAGCCCUGCAGCAAUGUUCACCGAAGAAGGUAAUUUCAUUCCUAAAGGAUUCCAAUCUGCACUAAAGAGGCCAGGGAUAUCAACACCUGUGGGCAACUCUGAUAUGUGCUUGUGCCUGCCUUCAAGCUGCAACAAGAUUCCAAGGCGUAAUCUGGCAAAGUCAACUAUGGGAUCGAAGGAACCGAAGCCCGGGUAACAUGUAUCUGCCAUCCUUGUGAUGCCAGAAAGUUUCAGUAAAGACUCAGGCAGAACGUACUACAGUAGAUCUAAAGCCACGUGUUAUGCAUCUGUGAUUCUGAAGCUGGAACAAAACAUUCUCAAAUGCUGUCAACCAACACGCUGAUCCCUCCAAGUCCUCUCUUCAACGCUCCAGGAAAAAAAAAACUUUACGGGAAUCCUGCCCGCUCUCAUUUUUACAACAAAAGGCCUAAUAAAUUAGUUAUUGACUCCCAA
Long non-coding RNA from Equus caballus (horse), 969 nucleotides. RefSeq lists it as uncharacterized. The record is from RefSeq and is a predicted model, not a curated record. NCBI's taxonomy places the organism in Eukaryota, Metazoa, Chordata, Mammalia, Perissodactyla, Equidae.